This 9576-nucleotide long non-coding RNA is filed under the name Fragaria vesca (wild strawberry). RNAcentral's name for it is "long non-coding RNA (FVES_LNC002103)". Lineage: Eukaryota; Viridiplantae; Streptophyta; Magnoliopsida; Rosales; Rosaceae. The record is from RNAcentral.
UCGGGUGUGCUUAUAGACACUUCCUAACAUAUAUUGAAGCUUUCUAGCUUUAAAAAUUCAUAUCUUUUAUCAAUUUACUCGUGAUCGGUCUUAAAUAACUCACGCAUGCCGGGUUUUAUAAAGCUGUUGAAUUUGCUAUUUUGAUUGGUAUUGAGUGACUUUCCAAGAUACCGUUCACUUCAAAUUUUUUCAUAUUGACACCAGGAAUCUUAAUUUUAAAAGAAAAUGAGGUAUUGCCACUCAUUUCAAAUUUCACCCAAUUUGAGCCAAAUUUACUUGCUACAGCACACUAGUUUCUAGCUAGUUUCACUUUUUUUGGGACUCUGGCUUUUUCCGUUCGGGUGUGCUUAUAGACACUUCCUAACAUAUAUUGAACCUUUCUAGCUUUAAAAAUCCAUGUCUUUUAUCAAUUUACUCGCGAUCGGGCUUAAAUAACUCACGGGUGCUGGGUUUUAUAAAGCUGUUGAAUUUGCUAUUUUAAUUGGUAUUGAGUGACUUUCCAAGAUUCCAUUCUCUUCAAUUCUUUUCAUAUUGACACCAGGAACCUUAAUUUUAAAAGAAAAUGAGGUAGUGCCACUCAUUUCAAAUUUCACCCAAUUUGAGCCAAAACCACUUGCUAUAGCACACGAGUUUCUGGCAAGUUUCACUUUUUUUAAGCCUUCGCCUUUUUCCGUUUGAGUGUGCUUACAGACACCUCCUAACAUAUAGUGAACCAUUCUAGCUUCAAAAAUCCGUGUCUUUUAUUAAUUUACUCGCGAUCAGGCCUAAAUAAACUCACACGUGUCGUGUUUUGUAAAGCUGUUGAAUUUGCUGUUUUAAUUGGUAUUGAGUGACUUUCCAAGAUUCCGUUCACUUCAAUUUUCAUAUUGACACCAGGAACCUUAUUUUAAAAGAAAAUGAGGUAUUGCCCCUCAUUCCAAAUUUCACCCAUUUUGAGCCAAAACCACUUGAUAUAGCACACGAGUUUCUAGCCAGUUUCACUUUUUUUGGGACUACGGAUUUUUUCGUUCGGGUGUGCAUAUAGCCACCUCCUAAUAUAUAUUGAACAUUUCUAGCUUUAAAAAAUCCAUGCCUUUUAUCAAUUUACUCGUGAUCGGGUUUAAAUAACUCACGCGCGCCAGGUUUUAUAAAGCUGUUGAAUUUGCUAUUUUAAUUGGUAUUGAGUGACUUUCCAAGAUUCCGUUCUCUUUGAUUCUUUUCAUAUUGACACCAGGAACCUUAAUUUUAAAAGAAAACGAGGUAUUGCCACUCAUUUCAAAUUUCACCCGUUUUGAGCCAAAACCACUUGCUAUAGCACACGAGUUUCUGGCAAGUUUCAUUUUUUUUGGAACUCCGGCUUUUUCCAUUCGGGUGUGCUUAUAGACAGUUCCUAAUAUAUAGUGAACCAUUUUAGCUUUAAAAAUCUAUGUCUUUUAUCAAUUUACUCGCGAUCUGGCCUAAAUAAAGUCACGCAUGCCGUGUUUUGUAAAGCUGUUGAAAUUGUUGUUUUAAUUGGUAUUGAUUGACUUUUUAAAAUUAUGUUUUCUUCAAUUCUUCUCAUAUUGACAUUGGAAACCUUAGUUUCAAAAUAAAAUGAGGUAUUGUUCCUCAUUUCAAGUUUACCCAAUUCGACCCAAAACCGGUAGCACACAAGUUACUGCCCAGUUUCACUUUUUUUUUUGUCUCCGGUUUUUUCGUUCGGGUGUGCUUACAGACACCUCUUAACAUAUAGUGAUGUGGAUCAACUUGGACUUCAUUAGAUCGAGUCCGGACCGACUUCGUCUCCUAUCUCCAGCCUCUCUACAUCGACGGAGCAUCGAUCGUUCUUAGUCGUCCGGCCACCUCUCGACAUCCAACCGGUGUCAACAGCUUCGUCUCGUCGUCCCCAACCUCUAUGUGUUCUUUCGAAAAGGAGCUCCGGCGAGAGAGAAAAGAAGAAGAGAAGGAUUUCUAGGUUCGCCGGUGAUCUUUGAAUUUCAGCCACGACGACGAGUACGACCGGUGUGAAUAGCUUCGUCUCGGUCUCGUCGAUGUCGAUAUCCACCAAGAAGCCACCAUGACUCGCCAUGGGGUCGCUAUGACCCUCCUAGGCCCAUCGAGGGCCGCCAUAACCCACCUUAGGGCAGCCAAGGGGGCACCAUGACCCACCUAGAGCCGCCAAGGAGAUGCAUUUACACGCCUUGACCCCCCUAAGGCCACCUUGACCUCGCCAAAGGGCCGCUAAGGGGACGUCUUGACCCUCCACGGGGCUGCCUUUAAACGCCUAGGGCUGUUUUGACCUCCCUAUGGCCCGCUAUAACCCGUCUUGACCCGCCUUGAACAGCCUUGACCCUCCUAGACCCGUCUAGGGCCGUCUUGACUCUCCUAGACUCGCCUAGGGCCGCCUUGACCUCCCUAGGGCCCGCCUUGACCCGUCUUGACCCGCCUUGAUCCGUCUUGACCCGUCUUAACCCGCCUUGACCCGUCUUAACCGGCCUUGAUCUGCCUAGGCCCAUCUUGGCCUGUCUUGACCCGCCUUGGACCGCCUUGAACGGCCUUGACCCUCUUAAACCCGCCUAGAGCCGCCUUAACCCUCCUCGACCCGCCAAGGGGUUGCCUAGGGCAGCCAUGGGGUCGUCUUGACCCACCUUGACCUGCCUUGGACCGCCUUGGGCCGCCUUGACCCUCCUAGACCCGCCUCGGGCCACCAAGAAGCCGCCAUGACUCGCCAAGGGGUCGCCAUGACCCGCCUAGGGUUGCCAAGAGACUGUUUUAACUCGUCUUGGCCCGCCUUAGGCCGCCAUGACCCAUCUUGGCCCGCCUUGACCCUCAUUGGCCCUGCUAGGCCCACCUAGGGAAGCCAAAGGGGCCCAUGACCCACCUAGGGCUGUCAAGGGGCUGCCAUUUUGAAGGUCCUAGAGGGGGAGUGAAUAGGCCCUGACAACUUUUUGCUCUAUCCCGCUUACAAGGAUAGCAAAGAUUUGGCUAUCUUGUUUGCUGUGAGACUAAGUUGUGAAUGUAAAUAUGCGAAUACUGGAAAGUAAAGAUAUAACACCAGUAUGUUUUUUACUCGCAGAAACCCUGCAACCAGGGAGAAAAACUACGUGCCUCUAACUCCUGAGAGGCAAACUUUUCCACUAUUGUAAACACACUUUUUACAAGACUCACAACUCAGAGGAUGGCACAACGCCUAGCCAUACUGCCUAGUCUACCACUAGCACUCAACUGAACUUGCUCUCUUAUCUCUCAAGUGUUUUACACAUAGGGCUAUGCUAAGCUUCAAAGCAGAACUUAACUAACGCCUUUAGCUAAUUCUCUGAGACAGCUUACAACUUGCUUCACACGAACUUAACUAACUCCUUAGCUAAUUCUCUAUGAAGACUUCACCGGGUUGCAUCACCUAGACCGCUCUCAAGGUAUGCAUGAACAAUGAACAAUGAAACGGGUUUUGAAAAUGUUUUGGUGCUCAGCUCUAAGAUUUAUAAUCAACGAGGAAGACUUAGAGCAAAGGAGCAAAGGAGCAAUAAUGCUAAGACUCAAGGGGAGAAAAUGCAAAUGAUAAUUUUCAACAACCAAGGAGUAUGAGGAGCAGAGCCUCAUAUAUAUAGGCAAAGUGCCAGCCAUGAACGGGCAGGCACAAUUGCCAAUUCAAGAUGGCUUCAUAUUUGGACUGUAGUGAUUUGUCUUCCUGAAAGUAGGACAGAAAGGGACUGACAGAUCCAACACGCCUAAAGCAGAGGCAAGGAGAGAUUUUCCCAGAUGGGAAUGAAGCCAACAGAAAAAGACAAAUGGUUUUGAAAAACUUAAUCAGUUUGGUCAGGCAUAAAGACUCUACAAAACCAUUUUUCCUAAGAGGGUAUUUAGGACAGCUGAUAGCUUGGGCGGUGGAUCACAUGGACUAGCCGCUGACUUGGUUUGUGUAUCACAGAAACCCAGCUGGACUCAAUGAGGCUCUAGUCAUGUGGUCACGGGUUGGUUGCCACACCAUCCUAGACUGACUUGGAGCCUAAGUACGAAUAAACUAAUGUUUUGCUAAAAGGAUUUGAGAUUCAAAUACUUAACAACUGAAGCAAAUACAUUUGAAUAUGCACCUGGACAGACUCAGAGAUCAGGACAGAUACAAGCAUGGGUAUCAUCCAAUCUAGGAUGGCAAGUGAAACUGCCAUCCUCAGUGAAGAAUAUGUGAUGCAUAUGCACAUGAACUACCUGAUUCACUUGAGAACGGUCAGGUCUUCAAUCUUCACUUGAGCUAUCAUGUCUUCAGGACAUGAAGUGCGGUUUGUGCCUUGUGUAUUUUGACCAUAAGGAAUUGCCAAUAAAUCUUAUACCAACACUUUUCACUCCUUAACCAUCCUAGGCUCGCCUGAGGCCACCUUGACCCUUCUAGGGCCGUCAAGAGGCCGCCAAGGGGACGUCUUGUCAGGACUCACCCCGAAUUUCACCUUGAAACCCGAAGUAAACCCUGCGGGGACCACCUCUAAGGAAAGUUUACCGAAAAUUCGGCAUAACCGCCCUUGAAAAUGGACAACCCUUCCUAAUAAUACCUGCAUACACUUCUGAAAAUCUAAAUCCAACCUUAAACUCCUGGAGCCUUUGUGCUCCCCCAAAUCACAACAUCUCCCAAUCUAUUUACUAACUUUAAAAAGAAAAUCUCACAUCUAACAACCACAGCUCAGAGCAACUCUAUUUGAGAGGAAAUGAACUAGAAAUAUAAAAAUUAGCGAAAACUAUACUAUUGACUAUGUCUCGUCUCCAUGUACGCCCGACCUCAACUAUGCAAUCCUGCAAACUGGGCAUUUUUAAAACGAAAGGCCCAGGGGAAAACAUUUGAAAACGUAAGAGUGAGUGGACAAAAGUAAAUUUAAAAGAAACGACCAAUAAAUAUCUUUGUGCUUUCCCAAUUUAAUUUCCGAGGAAAAAUCGAAUGCAUGCCUCAAGUGAUAAAACAUUCAUCUCAUAAAUAUCGAGCUUCUCAAGCUCUAAAAUAUAUAUGUAUGUAUUUACACACGUCCAUACUCCCUAUAUAAUCUUAUAGAUUUAUAUAGGGCUACUACUCUCGCGUCCAACGCUCACGCCACGCCUUAAUGCGGUGAUACACUACGCCAUUAAGGUGGACAUACGGGUGUAUAAAUAUAUGCCCAUACACCCUAUAUGAAUUAAACACUCAUAUAGGGUUACUACGCUCACGUCCAACGCUCACGUCACACCAUAAUGCGGCUAUAUGCUAUGCCAUUAAGGUGGACAGACACAUAUGACUAGUUAGCAUUUAUAUACAUACUCUCCUCAUAAAUACAUAAUUAUAUUCACCGAAAAUCUCAUUUUCAGUAUCUCUCCAAGAGAAAUAAAAUCAUCAAAAUUAAAAUGACGUCAAAUGCUCCAACAAAAAUUAAUUGUUCAUCCAUGAACCAUAGCAUGCAUAUUAUUUAAAAACAAAAGUCCACUCACAACUUUAGGCAUAAGCCUGACAAAAUCCAGUUCACCACUCAAGUGAGGUCUCCUCGAAUCCUGACACAAUAACCAUGCUUAGGACCAAACUUCAAUUUCAGAAAAAAUAAUACUUAAAUAUAUAACCCAAAACUCUUCCGCCUAAUCCACUACCUUUUCUAGGGUUAAGCUUAUCGGAUUUACGUCAAACUCCAACCACAGCCUCAAUUCAUUUAUUUCAACAUUCUAAAACAAUAAUAAAGAAAAUCCAACGGUCAGAUUCUACCCCAUUAACCGCCAAAUUCACCAAUCUUUCAAAAAUCCCAAACCUAUCCAAAACUCCUCCAAAAAUUUCAAACGUCACAUCAUUAAACUCCCCUUAAUAUUACACAUUUAAAACCAUGAAAAACCUCCUAACAGCGGCGGCCGGAGGCCGACUCCGACGACCUCCAAUGCCUACCAAAUUUUAACAACUUCAUCCUCUCAACACACUCUACAACUUUCUAACUAGUACCAAGUCAAAUUUCAAGCUUAACUAGGCCAAUCGAACAAAAACUUACAAUAAAACCCUAAACUUCAAACACUCGAAUCUCCUUACCUAGGCCAAGAGGGAGCGAAACCUUUGGAGGGAUGAAUGCACGGGAGGAGAGCCUCAUUUUGAGCCAAGUAGCUCCGGUUGUGGUGGCCGGAGGAGGGAGUUCCGGCGAGAGAACCACCAUGGCAGUCGGACCUUUCGGGCGAGAUAACUCCCUCACGGCGGAGCUAGGGCAGCUCUCACCGGUCCAGGAAGAAGGUUGGGUCGACGGCCGACCGUUUGGGACCGGUGCGGCGGUCGGAGCUAGCCGGACGGUGACGGGCGGACGGCGGGAAGCUUCCGGCAACGGGAGAGAGGGAGGGAGAAAGUCAGGAGGAAGAGAGAGAAAAGAAAAGUGUUGGGCUUUUCCCAAUCAGUUUCUACCCAACCCAACUAUAAACCCAACUCCAAAAUAACACCACAAAAAAUAAUACCCUAAUAAAAAUUACCUUUUUACUAGCUAAAUUUUACCUUUUUUACCGGCGUCAAAUUUUUCUCCUACGAAAAUUCCUCCGAAAUAAACGUCCCUUGAAACCCCUCUAGGGACCUUUGAAACUAUAAACUCAUUGACGAAGACGAUAAACCUUUUAUUACUACCAAGCUAGUAAAUAAGGUAAAAAUUUAAGAGUCGGGAUGUGACACGUCUUGACCCGCCAAGUGGUACCAUUUACACGCCUAGGGCUGUUUUGACCUCCCUAAAGCCACCAAGGGACCGCCUUGACCCGUUUAGGGGCUGCCUAGACCCUCCUAGACCCGCCUAGAUCCUCCUUAACCCUCCUCGACCCGCCUAGGGCAACCAUGAUGCCACCAUGACUCGCCAAGGGGUCACCAUGGCCCUCCUAGGCCCGUCUAGGGCAGCCUUAACCUGCCUUAACCCGCCUUAGGCCGCCUUAACCCGUCUUAGGCCACCUUGACCCUCCUAGACCGCUUAGGGCCGCCUUGACCCUCCUAGACCCACCAAGGGGUUGGUUAGGGCCGCCAUGGGGCCCCCUUGACCCACCUUGGACCGCCUUGACCUGCCUUAAACCGUCUUGACCCUCCUAGACCUGCCUAGGGCUGCCUUGAUCCUCCUAGACCCGCCUUGGGCCACCAAGACUAUCCAAAGGGUCGCCUUAACCCGCCUUGACUCGUCUUGGCCAGCCUUGACCCUCCUCGGCCAAACUAGGCUCACCUAGGGUAGCCAAGGGGGCGCCAUGACCCACCUAGGGCCACCAAGGGGCUGCCUUUACAAACUUUGACCCUCCUAGACCCGCCUAGGGCCACCUUGACCCGUCUAUGGCCGCCAAGAGGCCGCCUUAACCUGCCUAGGGCCGCUAAUGGGAUGUCUUGACCCGCCGAAGGGCUACCUUUACACGCUAAGGGCUACCUUUACCCGCCAAGGGGCCUCCUUGACCCGCCAUGGACCGCCUUAGGCUGUCUUAACCCGCCUUGACCAGCCUUGAACAGCCUUAGGCCGCCAUGACCCUCCUAGACCCGCCUUAGGUCGCCUUGACCCGCCUUAAACCGCCUUGACCCGCCUUAACCCGUUUUGGGCCGCCUUGACCCACAAUGGCCCGCCUUGGGCUGCCUUGACCCACAAUGGCCCACCUUGGGCUGCCUUGACCCGCCUUGACCAUCCUUGGGCCAUCUUGACCCGCAUUCACCCGUCUAAGGCCGUCGAGAGGUCACCUUGACCUGUUAACGGGCUGCUUUGACCCUCCUAGACCCUGCUAAGGCCACGUAGGGCCACCAAAUGGCCGCCAUGACUCGCCAAGGGGUCCCCAUUACCUCCUAGGCUAGUCCAGGGCUGCCAAGGGACCGCCUUGACCCGUCUUGGCCCAUCUUGACCCUCCCUGGCCUUCCUUGACCCGCCUAGGGCCGCCAAGGGGCUGCUAAGACCCGUCUAAGGCCUCCUUGUCUAGCCUAGUGCCACCAAAGGCCGCCUUGACCCUCCUCGGCCCUUCUAUGCCCACCUAGGUCAGCUAAGGGGGAGCCAUGACCCACCUAGAGCCGCCAAGGGGUUGCCUUUACCUGCCUUGACCCGUCCAAGGCCGCCAAGGGGACAUCUUGACAUGCCUAGGGCCACCAAGAAGCCGCCUUGGGGACGUCUUGACCGGCCAAGAGGCUGCCUUUUCAUGCCUAGGUUUGCUUUGACCUCCCUAGGGCCCGUCAUGACACACCUAGGGCCGCCAAGGGGCUGCCUACAGCCACCAUGGGGAUACCUUGACCCGUCUAGGGCCGCCUUGGCCCAUCUUGGCCCGCUUUGACCCCCCUUGGCCCGCCUUGACCCGCAUUGGACCGCCUUGACCCGCUUUGGACCGCCUUGGCCCGUCUUGACCCGCCUUGACUCUCCUUGACCCUCCUUGACCCGCCAUGGGUGUCAUGUUUAGUAAAGCUGUUGAAUUUGCUGUUUUAAUUGGUAUUUAGUGACUUUCAACAUUUCGUUCUCUUCAAUUCUUUUCAUAUUGACACCGGGAAACUUAAUUUUAAAAGAAAGGGAGGUAUUACCCCUCAUUUCAAAUUUCACCCAAUUCAAGCCAAAACCACUUGCAAUACCACACAAGUUUCUAGCCAAUUUCACAUUUUUUGGACUCCGGCUUUUUUCGUUCGGGUGUGCUUAUAAACUCCUCUUAACAUAUAUUGAACCAUUCUAGCUUCAAAAAUCCAUGUCUUUUAUCAAUUUACUCGUGAUCGAGCUUAAAUAAACUCACAUGUGUCGUGUUUUGUAAAGCUGUUGAAAUUGUUGUUAUAAUUGGUAUUGAGUAACUUUUUAAGAUUAUGUUCUCUUCAAUUCUUCUCAGAUUGACAUCGGAAACCUUAGUUUCAAAUGAAAAUGAGGUAUUGUCUCUCAUUUCAAGUUUCACCCAAUUCGAGCCAAAACCACUUGUUAUAGCACACGGGUUUCUGCCCAGUUUCACUUUUUUUGGUCCUCCGGCUUUUUCUAUUCUGGUGUGGUUACAGACACCUCCUACCAUUUAUUGAACCAUUUUAGCUUUAAAAAUCUGUGUCUUUUAUCAAUUUACUCGCUAUCGGCUAAAAAAAAACUCAUGCGUGUCGUGUUUAGUAAAGCUGUUGAAAUUGCUGUUUUAAUUGGUAUUGAAUGACUUCCCAAGAUUAUGUUCUCUUCAAUUCUUUUCAUAUUGACACCGGGAACCUUAUUAUUAAGUGAAAUUGAGGUAUUGCCCCUCCCUCAUUUCAAAUUUCACCUAAUUCGAGCCAAAACCACUUGUUAUAGCACACGAGUUUCUGUCCAAUUCCACUUUUUUUGGGCCUCCAGCUUUUUUCGUAUGGGUAUGCUUACAGACACCUGCUAACAUAUAGUCAACCAUUCUAGCUUCAAAAAUCUGUGUUUUUUAUCAAUUUACUCGCGAUCGGGUCUAAAUAGACUCCCGCGUGCCGUGUUUUGUAAAGCUGUUGAAUUUGCUGUUUUAAUUGGUAUUGAGUGACUUUCCAAGAUUCUGUUCUCUUCAAUUCUUUUCAUAUUGACACCAGGAACCUUAUUUUUAAAAGAUGAGGUAUUGUCCCUAAUUUCAAAUUUCACCCAAUUUGAGCCAAAACCACUUGUUAUAGCUCACGAGUUUCUAGCCAGUUUCAUUUUUUUAGGACUCCGGCUUUUUCCGUUCGGGUGUGCUUAUAGACAC